CGAGCCAUUUGCAAAAAAAUCUCUCAGUGGUUAUGUAGAGACGUUGAUCUGGUCUUUCAAUGGUUACUCAUCAUUUCUGAAAGGAGACUGAAGAUUCUUUCCAAGUUCCACAUAGGCAAAACAGUGCGUAGAAGCUGAACCUAAGUUCUAUGGCAAGAACCCCUGAUUUCUCUGCCAGUCUGAAGCAAAAUGCUCUAGCAAACAGGAAUUUAUGUAUCAGCUUCAUAUAAACUUCAAAACUAAGGAAUGUGCUGCACUACAGCAAAUCAUCUGGGUCCAUCCUGUGGUUUCUGCAAUGGAAAGGCCGGUUGGGGCAGUACAAGGAAUGGAGAGAGUUUCCAGAGGAAGCCUACGAUGCAGUGAAGGUAAUCUAGGUAUGAUUAAAAAACUAAGGCUGGUAACGUAUGUUGUCUCAUAGGCCGCAGAACAGAGUGGGCCACCCGGGCCA
Molecule: long non-coding RNA, 448 nt
Filed under: Crocodylus porosus (Australian saltwater crocodile)
Lineage: Eukaryota; Metazoa; Chordata; Crocodylia; Crocodylidae
Description: lncRNA (ENSCPRG00005009204.1)
Source: RNAcentral